AGAAGCACUCGGUAGAGCAGGAGAAGACGGGGACAGGAGACGGGGACACGAGUUACGGAGCGGCCACGCGCAGCCAUCAGCGACCGACGGAGACACAGCCUGGACCACGGAGACGCCAGAGCCUGAAGCACAGCAGCCUGUACCCGUUUGGCGAGGAUACUCCAGCCUGGGUCGGUAGUUUGACUGCCGCCCGGGAAGAUCGACGACCGGAGCAGCAGAGGAGGCGCUGCGGGAAGAGGAGCAUCGGGAGUCGAUCUGGGCUGGGAACGAGUUGACGUCUGAGCGGCGGCUGCUAGCGUUCCCACGUGCAAGUGACUCUGGGGCAGAGGGUUAUUGCAUGGACUUGUUUUAGGAUUAUCUAUUUUAUUUUGUAAAACAUUGCUUUUAUUGUAAUAAACCCGCCAAUAUUUAC
Molecule: long non-coding RNA, 412 nt
Organism: Epinephelus lanceolatus (giant grouper)
Lineage: Eukaryota; Metazoa; Chordata; Actinopteri; Perciformes; Serranidae
Source: RefSeq, a predicted model, not a curated record